RNAcentral lists this ribosomal RNA (442 nucleotides) under uncultured bacterium. RNAcentral describes it as "partial 16S ribosomal RNA". It matches the Rfam family "Bacterial small subunit ribosomal RNA", at positions 338 to 795 of the family's 1533-position model. The record is from RNAcentral.
CCUACGGGAGGCUGCAGUGGGGAAUAUUGGGCAAUGGACGCAAGUCUGACCCAGCAACGCCGCGUGAAGGAAGAAGGCUUUCGGGUUGUAAACUUCUUUUAAGCGGGAAGAACAGAAGACGUUGCCCCUUGAAUAAGCCACGGCUAACUACGUGCCAGCAGCCGCGUGAAUACGUAGGGGGCACGCGUUAUCCGGAUUUACUGGGUGUAAAGGGCGUGCGGGCGGAUAUACAAGUCAGAUGUGAAAUCCUCGGGCUAAACCCGUGAACUGCAUUUGAAACUGUUUCCCUUGAGUGUCGGAGAGGUAAGCGGAAUUCCCUGUGUAGCGGUGAAAUGCGUAGAUAUAAGGAAGAACACCAGUGGCGAAGGCGGAUUACUGGACGAUAACUGACGGUGAGGCUCGAAAGCGUGGGGAGCAAACAGGAUUAGAUACCCGGGUAGUC